This is a non-coding RNA of Mycena metata, 98 nucleotides long. NCBI's taxonomy places the organism in Eukaryota, Fungi, Basidiomycota, Agaricomycetes, Agaricales, Mycenaceae. The record is from the annotation of a GenBank genome assembly.
GACCUGAUGAUGUAACUGGUAACAUUCCGGCUUACUUACACUGAGUUGAAAGUGAGUGAUAUAAGCAGGGGUUCCUGGUUCGAUUCGGGGUCAGGUUA